GGGGGGGGGGGGGGGGGUGGCGGGGGGGGGGGGGUCGAGCGGAGGGACGGGAAGCUUGCGUCUCUGGUGUUAGCGGCGGACGGGUGAGUGACACGGGGAUAACCUACCUAUAAGACUGGGAGACCUUCGGGAAACCGGAGCUAAUACCGGAUACUACUUUGAACCGCCUGGUUCCAACGUAACAGCCGGUCUUGCUGUCACUUAUAGAUGGAGCCGCGCUGCAUUAGCUAGUUGGUAAGGUAACGGCUUACCAAGGCAACGAUGCAUAGCCGACCUGAGAGGGUGAUCGGCCACACUGGAACUGAGACACGGUCCAGACUCCUACGGGAGGCAGCAGUAGGGAAUCUUCCGCAAUGGGCGAAAGCCUGACGGAGCAACGCCGCGUGAGUGAUGAAGGUCUUCGGAUCGUAAAACUCUGUUAUUAGGGAAGAACAUAUGUGUAAGUAACUGUGCACAUCUUGACGGUACCUAAUCAGAAAGCCACGGCUAACUACGUG
This 497-nucleotide ribosomal RNA is filed under the name uncultured bacterium. Its description in RNAcentral is "partial 16S ribosomal RNA". It matches the Rfam family "Bacterial small subunit ribosomal RNA", at positions 27 to 507 of the family's 1533-position model. The record is from RNAcentral.